GAUGAAGAACGUAGCGAAAUGCGAUACUUGGUGUGAAUUGCAGAAUCCCGUGAACCAUCGAGUCUUUGAACGCAAGUUGCGCCCGAAGCCUCGGCUAAGGGCACGUCUGCCUGGGCGUCACGCAUCGCGUCUCCCCCAAACCGCCAAGGCGGAGGGGAAGGAAGAUGGCUUCCCGUGCCUCACCCGGGCGCGGUAGGCCUAAAUUUGGAGCCCGCGGCACUUAGCUCUCGCGGCGAUAGGUGGUGAACAAGGCCUUGGCCGUGCAAACAACCCGCUGCGAAGCUCUAUGUCACGUGCGCUCGUCGGACCCUUUGAAGUUGCCUUCGGUGACUUAAAACCUUUGCGACCCCAGGUCAGGCGGGGCUACCCGCUGAAUUUAAGCAUAUCAAUAAGCGGAGGA
This 400-nucleotide unclassified non-coding RNA is filed under the name soil metagenome. Its description in RNAcentral is "partial contains 5.8S ribosomal RNA, internal transcribed spacer 2, and large subunit ribosomal RNA". The stretch from base 1 to 120 matches the Rfam family "5.8S ribosomal RNA", at positions 35 to 154 of the family's 154-position model. The record is from RNAcentral.